This 445-nucleotide small RNA is filed under the name Arabidopsis thaliana (thale cress). RNAcentral's name for it is "ATSL042700". Lineage: Eukaryota; Viridiplantae; Streptophyta; Magnoliopsida; Brassicales; Brassicaceae. The record is from RNAcentral.
AACUAUUAAGUAUUGUUCAAAUUCAGAAAAUUAAAAGUGAAGUUUAGAGUUUUCAUUAGGGAAAAAUGUCAAAACAAUCACGAAUUUUCAAAUUUGGGACGAUUUAAUCUUGAACUUCACGGAAGACAAAUAAAUCAUAAAGUUUUUGUUCACUUUCGAAAUAAAUGACAAAGUUUUUGUUGACUUGUCAUUUGAGUCAUGUCGUUAAGUAGGUUGACAUAAUUUUUUUACGGCGUUAAUGUCUCGUUUAUCUCCUCUGUUAGAACAAAACAACGUUGUUUAUUGCAGCUCGUUUUCUCUAUUGAAACAAAUUUAAACCUUAAAUUCCCAAAUCGAUUUUAUUAUCUGCGAUUUUGAGGUCAAUGUGGGUAUGUGAUUUUGAGAUAAUGAAAUCGAUUUAGGGGUUUAUAUUUAUUUCAAGAGACAAAACAACGUCGUUUUAAAA